AAUGAACGCUGGCGGCAGGCCUAACACAUGCAAGUCGAACGAGGUAGCAAUACCUAGUGGCGGACGGGUGAGUAACACGUGGGAACGUACCCUUUGCUACGGAAUAGCCCUGGGAAACUGGGAGUAAUACCGUAUGAGCCCGAGAGGGGAAAGAUUUAUCGGCAAAGGAUCGGCCCGCGUUGGAUUAGGUAGUUGGUGGGGUAAUGGCCUACCAAGCCGACGAUCCAUAGCUGGUUUGAGAGGAUGAUCAGCCACACUGGGGCUGAGACACGGCCCAGACUCCUACGGAGGCAGCAGUGGGAAUCUUAGACAAUGGGGGAAACCCUGAUCUAGCCAUGCCGCGUGAUCGAUGAAGGCCUUAGGGUUGUAAAGAUCUUUCAGGUGGGAAGAUAAUGACUGUACCACCAGAAGAAGCCCCGGCUAACUCCGUGCCAGCAGCCGCGGUAAU
This 448-nucleotide ribosomal RNA is filed under the name uncultured bacterium. Its description in RNAcentral is "bacterial SSU rRNA". It matches the Rfam family "Bacterial small subunit ribosomal RNA", at positions 29 to 524 of the family's 1533-position model. The record is from RNAcentral.